UGCUAAUUGCAUCCUCCGCUAAAAGUAUUUCGUGAAGACAAAUUUUCUCUCAUCAACUCUUCGUUUACCCUGAGCUCUAUACCAAC
Long non-coding RNA from Trichechus manatus latirostris (Florida manatee), 86 nucleotides. RefSeq lists it as uncharacterized. NCBI's taxonomy places the organism in Eukaryota, Metazoa, Chordata, Mammalia, Sirenia, Trichechidae. The transcript is spliced from 3 exons. The record is from RefSeq and is a predicted model, not a curated record.